AAGACAUUAGUAGAAUUGAUACUACAUUACCUUGUCAAGGUAAAAUUGUGGGUUAAAACCCCACAUGUCUUG
RNAcentral lists this transfer RNA (72 nucleotides) under Psilorhynchus balitora (Balitora minnow). RNAcentral's name for it is "tRNA-Asp". It matches the Rfam family "tRNA". From Rfam's summary of the family: Transfer RNA (tRNA) molecules are approximately 80 nucleotides in length. Their secondary structure includes four short double-helical elements and three loops (D, anti-codon, and T loops). The record is from RNAcentral. Lineage: Eukaryota; Metazoa; Chordata; Actinopteri; Cypriniformes; Psilorhynchidae.